GACGAACGCUGGCGGCGUGCCUAAUACAUGCAAGUUGAGCGAUGAAGAUUGGUGCUUGCACCAAUUUGAAGAGCAGCGAACGGGUGAGUAACGCGUGGGGAAUCUGCCUUUGAGCGGGGGGCAACAUUUGGAAACGAAUGCUAAUACCGCAUAACAACUUUAAACAUAAGUUUUAAGUUUGAAAGAUGCAAUUGCAUCACUCAAAGAUGAUCCCGCGUUGUAUUAGCUAGUUGGUGAGGUAAGGGCUCACCAAGGCGAUGAUACAUAGCCGACCUGAGAGGGUGAUCGGCCACAUUGGGACUGAGACACGGCCCAAACUCCUACGGGAGGCAGCAGUAGGGAAUCUUCGGCAAUGGACGAAAGUCUGGCCGAGCAACGCCGCGUGAGUGAAGAAGGUUUUCGGAUCGUAAAACUCUGUUGGUAGAGAAGAACGUUGGUGAGAGUGGAAAGCUCAUCAAGUGACGGUAACUACCCAGAAAGGGACGGCUAACUACGUG
Molecule: ribosomal RNA, 497 nt
Filed under: uncultured bacterium
Lineage: Bacteria
Description: partial 16S ribosomal RNA
Rfam family: Bacterial small subunit ribosomal RNA
Source: RNAcentral